RNAcentral lists this ribosomal RNA (406 nucleotides) under uncultured bacterium. RNAcentral describes it as "partial 16S ribosomal RNA". It matches the Rfam family "Bacterial small subunit ribosomal RNA", at positions 30 to 526 of the family's 1533-position model. The record is from RNAcentral.
AUUGAACGCUGGCGGCAGGCUUAACACAUGCAAGUCGAGCGAGCGGCGGAGGGUUGAGUAAUGUCUGGAAAACUGCCUGAUGGAGGGGAUUAACUACGGAAAAGGGUGGCUAUUACGGCAAACAACAAAUGGUACCAAACUGGGAUUAGCUAGUGGUUGGGGUAUUGGCUCACCUAGGCGACGAUCCCUAGCUGGUCUGAGAGGAUGACCAGCCACACUGGAACGGAGACACGGUCCAGACUCCUACGGGAGGCAGCAGUGGGGAAUAUUGCACAAUGGGCGCAAGCCUGAUGCAGCCAUGCCGCGUGUGUGAAGAAGGCCUUCGGGUUGUAAAGCACUUUCAGCGAGGAGGCGUUACUCGCAGAAGAAGCACCGGCUAACUCCGUGCCAGCAGCCGCGGUAAUAC